This 446-nucleotide ribosomal RNA is filed under the name uncultured bacterium. RNAcentral's name for it is "SSU rRNA". It matches the Rfam family "Bacterial small subunit ribosomal RNA", at positions 26 to 518 of the family's 1533-position model. The record is from RNAcentral.
AGAACGAACGCUGGCGGCAGGCCUAACACAUGCAAGUCGAACGCUCGUAGCAAUACGAGAGUGGCAGACGGGUGAGUAACACGUGGGAACCUUCCCUAUGGUUCGGAAUAGCUCAGGGAAACUUGGGGUAAUACCGGAUAAGCCCUUCGGGGGAAAGAUUUAUCGCCAUUGGAUGGGCCCGCGUCGGAUUAGCUAGUUGGUGAGGUAACGGCUCACCAAGGCAACGAUCCGUAGCUGGUCUGAGAGGAUGAUCAGCCACACUGGGACUGAGACACGGCCCAGACUCCUACGGGAGGCAGCAGUGGGGAAUAUUGGACAAUGGGCGCAAGCCUGAUCCAGCCAUGCCGCGUGAGUGACGAAGGUCUUCGGAUUGUAAAACUCUUUUGGCGGGACGAUAAUGACGGUACCCGCAGAAUAGCCCGGACUAACUUCGUGCCAGCAGCCGC